GACGAACGCUGGCGGCGUGCCUAAUACAUGCAAGUCGAACGGUUUAGUUCCAAGAGGCUUGCCUUUUGGAACUAGACAGUGGCGGACGGGUGAGUAACACGUAGGCAACCUACCUGUCAAACCGGGAUAACCCCGGGAAACCGAAGCUAAACCCGGAUAAGCUCCUUUUUCGCAUGAAGGGGGAGUGAAAAGGUGCGACCUGAUGACAGAUGGGCCUGCGGCGCAUUAGCUAGUAGGUAGGGUAACGGCCUACCUAGGCGAUGAUGCGUAGCCGACCAGAGAGGGCGUAGGACCACACUGGGAGUGAGAUACGGCCCAGGCUCGUACGGGAGGCAGCAGUAGGGAAGCUUCGGCAAUGGGCGAAAGCCUGACCGGGCAACACCGCGUGAGUGAGGAAGGCCUUCGGGUUGUAAAACUCUGUUGUUUGGGAAGAAGGGAAAGGGUAGGACCCUUUGGUGACGGUACCAAACGAGAAAGCCCCGGCUAACUACGUG
RNAcentral lists this ribosomal RNA (494 nucleotides) under uncultured bacterium. RNAcentral describes it as "partial 16S ribosomal RNA". It matches the Rfam family "Bacterial small subunit ribosomal RNA", at positions 28 to 507 of the family's 1533-position model. The record is from RNAcentral.